RNAcentral lists this long non-coding RNA (305 nucleotides) under Nicotiana benthamiana. RNAcentral's name for it is "long non-coding RNA (NBEN_LNC008696)". Lineage: Eukaryota; Viridiplantae; Streptophyta; Magnoliopsida; Solanales; Solanaceae. The record is from RNAcentral.
UUGUCUAUAAUCAAAACUCAAUUCACCACCAUCAUUAGCCUCAUAGCUCUUCCCUCCAUCCUCACUAUCAUCCAAUUCAACAAGUUGGUAGUCAAUGUGUUGCUUUUCAGCAACCACCCUUACUUGUGGUUCAACAGCUUCAAGAGAUUUCAGUCCUUUGCGAAAGAAACUCAACUGCUCCAGAAAACUACCCUUAUUUGUGGUUCAACAGCUUCAAGAGAUUUCAGUCCUUUGCGAAAGAAACUCAACUGCUCCAGAAAAAAGAGAAAUUAGGCAAACAAGUCAUUACCCGAUCCAAGACAAAG